This 464-nucleotide ribosomal RNA is filed under the name Lactiplantibacillus plantarum. Its description in RNAcentral is "bacterial SSU rRNA". It matches the Rfam family "Bacterial small subunit ribosomal RNA", at positions 417 to 873 of the family's 1533-position model. The record is from RNAcentral. Lineage: Bacteria; Bacillati; Bacillota; Bacilli; Lactobacillales; Lactobacillaceae.
UUCGGAUCGUAAAACUCUGUUGUUGGUGAGAACAGAUAGAGACAGUAACUGUUCUGUAUUGACGGUAUUUAACCAGAAAGUCACGGCUAACUACGUGCCAGCAGCCGCGGUAAUACGUAGGUGGCAAGCGUUGUCCGGAUUUAUUGGGCGUAAAGCGAGCGCAGGCGGUUUUUUAAGUCUGAUGUGAAAGCCCUCGGCUCAACCGGGGAAGUGCAUCGGAAACUGGGAUACUUGAGUGCAGAAGAGGAGAGUGGAAUUCCAUGUGUAGCGGUGAAAUGCGUAGAUAUAUGGAAGAACACCAGUGGCGAAGGCGGCUCUCUGGUCUGUAACUGACGCUGAGGCUCGAAAGCAUGGGUAGCAAACAGGAUUAGAUACCCUGGUAGUCCAUGCCGUAAACGAUGAAUGCUAAGUGUUGGAGGGUUUCCGCCCUUCAGUGCUGCAGCUAACGCAUUAAGCACUCCGCC